AACGCACAUUGCGCCUUCCGUUACAGGGAGGCAUGCCUGUCUGAGCGUUAUUUAAAUCAAUAAACUUUUAUAAGUUUGUGUUGGGCCCUGUCACAAACAUGUGGGCAUCGCCUUGAAGCCAUCGGUCUUGUGAGCGGACGAGUUCCUUCAAGGAAGAACCGUUCUCGGACCCUAAAAUAUUUUAAAAUUAGCCUCAGAUCAGGUAGGGACACCGCCUGAACUUAA
This 225-nucleotide unclassified non-coding RNA is filed under the name uncultured Archaeorhizomycetales. RNAcentral's name for it is "sequence contains 5.8S rRNA gene, ITS2, 28S rRNA gene". Lineage: Eukaryota; Fungi; Ascomycota; Archaeorhizomycetes. The record is from RNAcentral.